GUGUGUGUGUCUUUCACAUCAUGGUUCCUGAUCCUGUCCACCUCCCUCCCCACCCCAAAUAAAACCAAAUAUAAGAUGGGGGAAGAAAGGAAGAAGGGCAAAAUCUCAUCCUGGAAGCUGCGGUGUGACACGGAACACUGAAAUCGGGAAUGUAUGAUAGUAGGAAGCACUCUAUAAAAAACUACAAUGGCCCCAUCAUUGUGACAUCCUCAAGAGACUCAAAAGAAGUUACCAUCAGAGGCUAUGCAAUUAAAGGAAAAAAAAACUAGAACAAAGAACAGAGGAAAACAACCAAAACACCCCAAGUGAUCUCCAACUAAUGAGGUGACCGCAAUCGAGAUGAAGACUCCUAGGAUGUAGUGUCAGUUGUCCUUUGUACCUUUAGCGCAUCCACAGAGGGAAGUGGUGAAAGCUACUUCGGGGAGCAGAGGAGGCUAGCAGGAAGGUAAACAGUAAGACAGAGAAGCAAGACUCCAGCGGCGGAAAGGGAAGAGAGAAGGCCGUGGUACAGAGGAGGAUUUUCUGCCUAUGAAGAACCGAGACAGCAGUGCUCACCAGCUGAGAUGUCCAGGCCCAGCAACAGCACAGCGCUUGACUCCUUCCAAACGCCCAUAGGGCCUUGUGUUUGGAUGAGGUCUCCACACGAAGAACAUAUGCAGUGACUCCAACCAGGAGCAGAAAAUGGAAAUGCUGAAGUGAUAGCAGCCAUGACCCCUCCUUGUUGGCUAAUCUCCAAGGAUAGAUGUUGAGUUCACAGGGGUCUGGUGUCUCUGUUCAGACAAAAGCCUUGGGAAAUGGCAAGUUGACAGAUGGACCUGGUUCAACAGACAGCUCCAAAUCCAUAGUUACACAGACAAUCAUGUUUAUCUCGGUGGGUCACAAAAAGAAAAAGAAGAAGAAGAAGAAGAAGAAGAAGAAGAAGAAGAAGAAAUAGACAUGGAUGUGAACAAGAGGAAAUUUGUCGUGAGGAAUGGGGAGAUAGGAGUUGACAGCUCAGUGUGCAUUUCAUACUGGUACAAAAUUGUCUAAAAACAACUUUAAUUAUUAAGAAAAAAAGAUACAUAGAGUUUGAGAAAAAAUCCAACACCACCCUUUGACCUCCACACAUGCAUGCGCAAAUGCACACAUAAACACAAAUGCACACACAGAUAUAAACACAAAAGAACACUGAGGUUUUUCGUGGGUGGGAUGAAUGCUGAUCUUUUCAAGGUCUAGUAGGGGGAAAUGCACUUUUAUGAUAUGUUAAAUGACAUAUGCUCAAAUACUAAAGCCUGAACUAAAUAUUUCUAUUACUGAGCCAUUGAUGAAACAUUUCCUAUUCUUUUCAGGGCUGUAUGGAACCUGUCUGGUUUGUACAGGAUAGUCUUAGACCUGAAGAAACACUGGCUUGGUUGUAGAAUGCGCCAGCCUUGUGACCCUUCCCUAGCCCUUUCCAAAGAACUACAGAAUCCCAGCGUAGAUCCCGAACCAAGGCAGAGAAACAGGGAAAGUUACAGUGCCGCUCAAAGACCUUCCCACACAGUCUCUCUUCCCACAGCGGUGACAUUCUCCUCCAGGUGCCAUGAAUCAUUUCCGCCCCUUCCCACCUGAGGGAGUGGAAGAGCUCUCUCCGGAUCUGUAACCAGAAUUCCUACUUCACCGAAGAGAAACAAAUCUGGGUCACCUGUUCCUGGCCCUCAUCUCACCAGGUCCCAACUCUUAUCAUCUCCCAGGAACAGCAUGGAGUUGAGCUUUGCUGGAGUGCUCUAGUGUGCAUUUGAAUGAAUGGAAGGCCUCACCAUGAACUGAUGUGUGUAUCAUUUCCAUUCUUAGAGAUGGUGAAGUAAGUCUUAGGCAGGACAGGGCUCUGAGUAACAAGGUGGGUGGCGGAGCAGGUAUUGCAUUUGAAGUUGUCUGAUUCCAAACUUGAAUGUUUAACCACUAUCUUACAUUAUUUGGCUCCUCCAUCCUAUGAAACUUCUUCCUAAUUAACAGGGUGGAAACUAUAUAGAGAGGAAAACCUCAUAAAUGCUUAAUUGGGCACAUGUGGAGAACUUAAAGGAAACAUUUUACUUUCGGAAGUCUUGGCGAGGAGAAGUGAACAAGCGUGUGUGGGGGUGGGGGGCGGGAGGGAUAAAAGCCUCGACAGUUCUUAGUCCACAGCAUCUCUUGACUGUUUUUUUUUUUUAAUUGUUGUCUCCUUAUCAACUGAUUCUUUGUCACCACUUGUUUUACACUAACACUGUGACAGUUGUCAGGCUGGAUCAUCAGAGCUAUGAGGUUAAGGUUUCCAGAGAAGUGCUAAACUUCCAGUCUCCUGCCUAUAUUCACAGGCAGUGACCUGGAUUUACCUGAGAGGAAGAGCUUAUGACAUUGAUUUUAAGCCACAGAUAAGCAUUUUGUGUCCAACUUAUUGUAACAUGGGCCAAACACACAAAGAUAUUUAAUUCUGUAUGUUCCUGUAGGAAAACAAAAUAAAGCAGGGAAAAUACAUAAUGGAAGUUAAAAUAUGGAGAGGAGGAUCUUAGGUGUGUUUAUACUUGCUCCUUAUGGCAUGCUGCCAACUGCACAAAGCAGGCAUUGCCAUCUUAAUCAGAGAGGCUGUGACUCUCUGCAAGGCUCCCUCAGGAUAGAACCUAUUGGCAUUCUGUCAUCCAAUGAAAGGGUUGAGAGGAUCAUUACUCUCUCCUGAGAUUCCAGCCACUCCCUCCUGCACACCUCCUCCCAGCUGUAUGCAAUCCUGCCCCAGUUGCUCACAGUCUUGGGAGGUGAUGGACGAUGCAGAGUGUAGGACAUUAGCUGGAGUGGGAACGCCCUCUCUGUAUCCACAGGGAAGUCAUCAUCCAUACCGGGGAGGGACUUUUUGGUGAUAGGGUUGUUUGGAGUCACCCAUGCACUUGUAAGUAAGCCAAAUAAACUCAUUGGCUUAACAAACUAGACUUAAGUGGAAUUGUUAUAUAAUUCAUUGGUGCCCUAUUGAGGGUGAAUAAAUGUUUAUUUACAUUUCCCAGGCAACUUUUAUGUUAGAUUACUGAAUUUCUUCAAACACAUGUAGAAAGUCUAGGAUACUGGAUACACUCUAUCUGGGUUGUAAACCUGUUCGUAGUUAUUUCUAGAUCAGAGACUAACUGCUAAAAGGUGGGUUAGAAUCUUCCAGAAAGUGAUAUGUCUGAUUUUUGACACAUGCUCUUCAGAGGUGUUGGAAGAAUUGUAAGACAUGGAGAAUAAUGAAUCUGGACACUCAUUAUUUCAGACCUGGGUGAGGGAUUAUCAUCUUCUUGGAGUACCAGGAGAGUCCCGCCAGAGAUUGCUUGAGAACCCAGUCCAACUGGCAUCACUUUCUGUCCCUCAUGUUUAACAGCCAUCUGCCUCGUUGGGCCAGGCAUUGACUUGUCUGCAAUAGUGCUGACUCAAACACAAGGUCUUAAGGAUCUUGAAAGGUCUCUGCAGCCCUGAGAUUCAUUAUUAUGUUCUGCCAGGGAAAUCCACAGGGUGAGCACAUAGAUCAUCAUCCCCUAGGCACUAGCGUAUGUAGACCAAGGAUCAUAUCUGCAGGUAUGCACAAUCACCUGAAUGGAAUUUGAAGACUGGUGUGGAACUGAAAUAUGAAGUGUUCCCUAGGAAAAUUAAUUGCCUUGGCUCUCCCCCAGAGAGUUUAAGGACUUUCCGUUGUGGAAUGCCUGGGAGCGUGAAUGAGGAGGCACCAGGUUAGGGGAACCCAGGCUGAGUGGAACUCCUAUCAGAUCUACUCCCUAGAUGAAGUGGGAAUUGCUGAAGGGUCUGGUGGGGCAGGGGGCUGGGUGAAGUUAGUCUACCUUCCUAGGCUGCUGAAGCCGCUGUUCCUGUCCUGGCUUAGCAGCUGUCAAAUCUAAAAACCACACUGAUUGUGAACCACUGGGGCAAACAGAACACAGAUAGCUGCCCUCCCCACCCUGUUCUGUUAGCUCCUCCAAAGCAGCAGUUCCGUUCUUCCCACCGUCAUGGGGGUCAUCGUCACACCCCACCCCUCCAUCUCCUCCAGCUUUUCGCACUGCAGCAUACAUUCAAACUGUUCCUCUUAGGGCUAACUUUUUGCCUUUGGGUCUUUGGGAUACAGGUUUUCAUGGAAUGGCAGAGAACACUGGCUUGCUAAGGAAACAGACUUUUCUUCAUAGAAAUUUUCAUCCGGGUUUUUAUUUUAACAUUCAACUAGUAUAUUUAAACAUGAAACAGCUCAGCCAAUCCAGUUCCUGCCAUCUUUUCUGCUUCCUCACAGGGUGCACACAGCUAGCCCUGUGUGCUUUAUUGCUGCAGUACUACAAGAUUCCCUUUCCAAAUCACCUUGAGUAGGGCACCCUUGACUGAUGCCCAAGAGCCUCGUGAACUUCUCCAUAUGACCUGCAAUCCUCACUGCCUCCUUUCUUCUCCUUCUUGCCCUGAAGCCUCCCUCUGCAUUUCAUUCCUGGUGGUGCCUAGAACCUUAUAAAAUAGUUUAUAUUUAGACUGUGUGCUUACUAUUUACUGUUUCUCAUCCCUUGAAGUUAAGUUAUACAAAAGCAAAAAAAAUUAAUGUGUUUGUUGACUGAUACAUCUCUAAUGUUGGAAACAAUACUGGACAUAUAGUUGGAAUAAUGUUAAAAGGAUGAUGGGAAGAUGAAUGAAUGGGUUAAUGAUUCAUCAAAUAAAAUAGGAGUUAUAAUUGUU
Molecule: non-coding RNA, 4662 nt
Organism: Cricetulus griseus (Chinese hamster)
Lineage: Eukaryota; Metazoa; Chordata; Mammalia; Rodentia; Cricetidae
Source: RefSeq, a predicted model, not a curated record